This 317-nucleotide ribosomal RNA is filed under the name uncultured bacterium. RNAcentral describes it as "bacterial SSU rRNA". It matches the Rfam family "Bacterial small subunit ribosomal RNA", at positions 343 to 659 of the family's 1533-position model. The record is from RNAcentral.
GGGAGGCAGCAGUGAGGAAUAUUGGUCAAUGGGCGCGAGCCUGAACCAGCCAAGUCGCGUGAGGGAUGAAGGUUUAUGGAUCGUAAACCUCUUUUAUAAGGGAAUAAGUGCGGGACGUGUCCCGUUUUGUAUGUACCUUAUGAAUAAGGAUCGGCUAACUCCGUGCCAGCAGCCGCGGUAAUACGGAGGAUCCGAGCGUUAUCCGGAUUUAUUGGGUUUAAAGGGUGCGUAGGCGGCCUUUUAAGUCAGCGGUGAAAGUCUGUGGCUCAACCAUAGAAUUGCCGUUGAAACUGGGAGGCUUGAGUAUGUUUGAGGCA